RNAcentral lists this non-coding RNA (26 nucleotides) under Rattus norvegicus (Norway rat). The record is from RNAcentral. Lineage: Eukaryota; Metazoa; Chordata; Mammalia; Rodentia; Muridae.
UCUAACCUUUCUUUUGCAGCUGCUCC